Pelobates cultripes (western spadefoot toad) is the source of this 652-nucleotide non-coding RNA. The record is from the annotation of a GenBank genome assembly. Lineage: Eukaryota; Metazoa; Chordata; Amphibia; Anura; Pelobatidae.
GUAGAGUUGGCAUUUGAAUGCAGGCGUGCAUUUUUGUGUAAUUUGUUUUUUGAAUAUCUGGUGUGUUUUCAUGUAAUGUUGAUAUUUGGAUGCAGGGGUGUAUUUGUGUGUAGUGUUGGCAAAAUGCUGAGAUGUAUUCACAUAUACUCAAAUAUACACACACUGGCACACAUGCAGAUACAUAUACACACAGAUGCACACACUGGCAUACAGAUACACAGACACAUAGGUAUAUACAUGCAGACACAUAGAAACAUAGUAAUGCACAGAUACAGACAAACACUGACACACAGAUACAAACACACACACACACAUAUACAGAGGCACAGACACAAAUACAGAUACACACAUACAGAUACACAGGUAUAAGUGUGUGUUUACUGUAUGCAGUGCGUGUGUGUAUCGUGUAUGCAGGGCAUGUGUGCAUAGUGUAUGCAGUAUGUGUAGUGUAUAUAGUGUGUAGUGAGCAGUGUGUAUUGUUUGUGUGCAUGUGUCCCUCCCUGACUCUUACCUGUGUCCUGGGAGGAGGGACACACUAUAUUCCCUUGUGGUCCGGUGGCACAGUAUGGUUGCCCAGGAGUCUCCAUGUUUGAUUCACAUCCAGCAGCAGCAUGUCCUCUGUUCUUGCGAUCCGUGAAAGUGUUGCAGUGGG